This 1131-nucleotide ribosomal RNA is filed under the name Klebsiella aerogenes. Its description in RNAcentral is "bacterial SSU rRNA". It matches the Rfam family "Bacterial small subunit ribosomal RNA", at positions 1 to 1123 of the family's 1533-position model. Lineage: Bacteria; Pseudomonadati; Pseudomonadota; Gammaproteobacteria; Enterobacterales; Enterobacteriaceae. The record is from RNAcentral.
AAAUUGAAGAGUUUGAUCAUGGCUCAGAUUGAACGCUGGCGGCAGGCCUAACACAUGCAAGUCGAGCGGUAGCACAGAGAGCUUGCUCUCGGGUGACGAGCGGCGGACGGGUGAGUAAUGUCUGGGAAACUGCCUGAUGGAGGGGGAUAACUACUGGAAACGGUAGCUAAUACCGCAUAACGUCGCAAGACCAAAGUGGGGGACCUUCGGGCCUCAUGCCAUCAGAUGUGCCCAGAUGGGAUUAGCUAGUAGGUGGGGUAAUGGCUCACCUAGGCGACGAUCCCUAGCUGGUCUGAGAGGAUGACCAGCCACACUGGAACUGAGACACGGUCCAGACUCCUACGGGAGGCAGCAGUGGGGAAUAUUGCACAAUGGGCGCAAGCCUGAUGCAGCCAUGCCGCGUGUAUGAAGAAGGCCUUCGGGUUGUAAAGUACUUUCAGCGAGGAGGAAGGCGUUAAGGUUAAUAACCUUAGCGAUUGACGUUACUCGCAGAAGAAGCACCGGCUAACUCCGUGCCAGCAGCCGCGGUAAUACGGAGGGUGCAAGCGUUAAUCGGAAUUACUGGGCGUAAAGCGCACGCAGGCGGUCUGUCAAGUCGGAUGUGAAAUCCCCGGGCUCAACCUGGGAACUGCAUUCGAAACUGGCAGGCUAGAGUCUUGUAGAGGGGGGUAGAAUUCCAGGUGUAGCGGUGAAAUGCGUAGAGAUCUGGAGGAAUACCGGUGGCGAAGGCGGCCCCCUGGACAAAGACUGACGCUCAGGUGCGAAAGCGUGGGGAGCAAACAGGAUUAGAUACCCUGGUAGUCCACGCCGUAAACGAUGUCGACUUGGAGGUUGUGCCCUUGAGGCGUGGCUUCCGGAGCUAACGCGUUAAGUCGACCGCCUGGGGAGUACGGCCGCAAGGUUAAAACUCAAAUGAAUUGACGGGGGCCCGCACAAGCGGUGGAGCAUGUGGUUUAAUUCGAUGCAACGCGAAGAACCUUACCUACUCUUGACAUCCAGAGAACUUAGCAGAGAUGCUUUGGUGCCUUCGGGAACUCUGAGACAGGUGCUGCAUGGCUGUCGUCAGCUCGUGUUGUGAAAUGUUGGGUUAAGUCCCGCAACGAGCGCAACCCUUAUCCUUUGUUGCCAGCG